CCCUCAAGCUCCGCUCAUUCCCCUCUUCCUUCUUCCGCCGCCCCUUCUCCUUCCCCUUCGCUUCUCUCCUCAUCUGCUAGCCCGGAAAGGCUCAGCAAGGCAGCACUCGCGCUGCAGUGGUGCUGUGCGUGAGGAACUCCCAUGUUAUCGAUCUGGUGUUGCUGUGCGUGAGGAGGACAGACAUGGGGAAGGCUCAGCAAGGCAGCGCUCGCGCUGCAGUGGUGUUCUGCGUGAGGAGGACGGGCAUGGGGAAGGUGCAACAAGGCAGCACUCGCAUCGCAGUGGAGUGGAGCCGGCCGUCACUACCAACUGCUGCUCCCUGGUUGCCGUCCCUCAUCCGUCAUCUGGGUUGCACUUCUUUGGCCCUGCCAUCUUCUUCCUCCCCAGUUUUUUUCUCUUUAUUUCAUAGGUUCUUUGAUAAUCUGAUUUUCUUUCUUGAUAUCACAUAGUCAUGGUUGGCAGCUAAUAUCCAAAAUUUUAGUGUUGUCAGUACACUGAGGUUUAUCUUAUUUUGCUAAAGGUUUUGUCUAUCAAGAACUACAUAUGCUCGACAUGGUGUCGUGGUAUCUAUAGUUGUUGUGGAGCUUGCUGGUAUUCUGACCUUCCACUGCCUCUUUCCCCUCUCUGUGCCUAUGCGAGCUACAUUGGAAGAAUCCAUGUAUUUAGUUGUGGCAUGUUUGGCAGCUACAGCAGCUUGAUAAUUAAUUAGUUCUCAUCCAAGGUGAUUUACUUCUCCCCUUUAUGUAUAAUGGAUGGAUGUAUGUGGUGGUUGGUUGUCAUUACUGAAGCAAGAGUUGGCUGGAGUGAUUUAUCUUGCUAAUGAGAAUUUGUACAUUUCCAUUUAUUUUCCGCUUAUCCAUUUGUUUUGUAUAAUAUAUGGAUGUUGUAGGAUAAAGAUGAACUAAAAAUUGACAGCAUGUACAGAGCUGGACAAAGCUUAUGAAUGUACCAUGGGAACACAGAGUUCACUUAAAUUAAUAUUGUCCUUGCUUAUUUGAACCAUCUUUUGUUUCUUGCAAUAGGGGGGUUUAUUCACAAGGCUUAUCUUGUGGUGUGUCGGCAGCGCGACUGUACGCCACUGUUACUAGGUUGUUUCAUUUCUACAGCAACACAGGCAAUGCUUAUGUAUUGCACAUAUUUUUAUUUCUUUUGAUUUUGCCUUGGUUGUUAUUUAUGCAUAUAGCCUCAUGUAUGGGAUCCUAUUUCAGGGCACCGUUUUCAAUGGUUAGUUGAGGUGCUUCUGGUUUUCUGAAUGAGUACAUAGGUAAUGUUGAAGAUGCUCUGUCCUUAAUUUUUAGAUGUUUACUUUGGUUAUUGUUCUCACUUUGGUCAGUGCAGAUCUUCUUUUUAAAUAGCACGGAUAGAGGACCAGAAAAGAGAUACUUUUCUUGUUGGUGCACUUGCAAGUAUAUGCGGAUCUGCACCUUAGAUUUCCUUGCCUUUGGCUGGCUGUCCUUUUCUUUUGCUAGGCCAUCGACUUGCUUUCAACUCGAGCAGGAUUUGCUGCAACCUCCUGUUUGUGACGUGGUGCCGCCAAAGGUAUCCUUCUCUCUGUCCUGAUUCUAAUUCUCUGCCAUCUAUUUGUUCACCAACCAUUUAUUUUCUGUUGAAAUGAAUGGUAUUACUUUAUUUUCAAUUUCCUAAAUCUAUAUUAUACUUCUAUUGCAAUAUAAUAUAACGAGGCAUGGUCAGUUGGAAACAUUAUUCGCAUAUGAACAGGCCCAAAGGAGUUCUGAGGUAUUGAUACUCCUGUCAAUCUGCUCUAAUCUGGUUCGUCGAUAUCCUGAAGGAAUUAUACCAUCCUAUAUUCUUUUUUCUGAUUUUGGUUGGAUACCUGCUUAGAUGGGUGAACUUUUAACCCAUCUUUUAUUGCUUGCAGGUGUAUUUGUUGGGUUCCUCUUGGUGUGUUGAACAAAAAUUGGCGUGCAUCACUGAUAUUUAAAGAUGGUUUGAUCAGUACUAGGGAAAACCCAUAGAUGGAAGGAAAUUAUUGUAGGUAUCUAAGAAUGCUGAUGAUUACACUCGGAGCAAGCUUGUCGCGGCGCUGCAAGUGUUGUCCCCCUCCCCCCCAAGGGCAAGGUGAAGGAAGGUGCCUGUGUGGUUCUUCUGCAGCUCGCAGCGAGGAUUGCUGUGUCCAACCUGCACAAAAAUGCCAAGAAGUCCUUCUCGGAAACGUAAAGGCCUGUUUGUAUCCUGCCCAUGGUUGCCCUGCCUUGCCAACGAUGGCACACCAAUAAUUUGGUGCAGGAUUCCGCCGCUAACUGUUUGCCAAAAAAUUGGCUACGUAUUGAACGGGAGGAGCUACAGGGCUUAGGGUGAGCCAAAUAAUCGGAAGCCAACAAACACACGCCACGCUGUGGUCAACGCCAAAUAUUUGGCAUGGCAAACCGGGGCUGCAAUCCAAACAGCCUCUAAACCACGGCACAUGUUUCUGCCAUGAUUUCCUUCAGUUGAAUUUUGUGGAUUUAGGUGUUGAAAAAUUAUGGGCUGUGGAUGCAGGAUUAGGACAUGUACCUGCACUACAACGAGAGAUCUGGGCUGCUUCUUUGUGGCUUCCAAACUUGAAAUGUUUGUCGGGAAGUUAGUUUAGUCUUUUGUUGUGGA
Molecule: long non-coding RNA, 2604 nt
Organism: Triticum dicoccoides
Lineage: Eukaryota; Viridiplantae; Streptophyta; Magnoliopsida; Poales; Poaceae
Exons: 3
Source: RefSeq, a predicted model, not a curated record